Molecule: ribosomal RNA, 376 nt
Filed under: uncultured bacterium
Lineage: Bacteria
Description: bacterial SSU rRNA
Rfam family: Bacterial small subunit ribosomal RNA
Source: RNAcentral
GACGAACGCUGGCGGCGUGCCUAACACAUGCAAGUCAACGAGAAAGGGUAGCAAUAUCCUGAGUAAAGUGGCGCACGGGUGAGUAACACGUAGGUAAUCUGCCAUCAGGACGGGGACAACCACGCGAAAGCGUAGCUAAUACCCGAUGAAUCAGCGAUGCCGCAUGGCAUUGCUGUUAAAUACCGCAAGGUGCCCGAUGAUGAACCUGCGUCCCANAGGUAGUUGGUGAGGUAACGGCUCACCAAGCCGACGAUGGGUAGCUGGUCUGAGAGGAUGAUCAGCCACACUGGAACUGAGCACGGCCCAGACUCCUACGGGAGGCAGCAGUGGGGAAUCUUGCGCAAUGGGCGAAAGCCUGACGCAGCGACGCCGCGUG